This 1497-nucleotide long non-coding RNA is filed under the name Bos grunniens (domestic yak). RNAcentral's name for it is "lncRNA (ENSBGRG00000009605.1)". The record is from RNAcentral. Lineage: Eukaryota; Metazoa; Chordata; Mammalia; Artiodactyla; Bovidae.
AUGACAAUCGCUGCACCAGACACCAUGUCUGUCUCUGUGUUCUUCGUGCUGUUUCUCAUUACAACGCAUCCCCAGGUUGAAGAGGCAGUAAUGAAGGAAAUCCAGACUGUUGUUGCCUCACCAGGAGAGAACACAUUUCCCCUGGCUAGAAGAUGCCCAUCAGUCCUGUCUUCAAGCCAAGGAGGCUGGCUCUCAAGCUCUUGGAAAUGUCUUCAUGGAGGGCACACGAGAUCAAAGUAUGAACAAUUCAGGCCCUUAAUUUGCCUAAAAUGAGGUGAAGUUUGUUUAACCAACCCACUUUUCCACUUAUCACAUUGUCAUCAUGUAGAUUCAGCUGUAGCAUCAUCUAUGAUAAUUAGAUGGAAAUCAAAUCAGAAGAAAUGAUUUGGUUUUUGCAGUCUGCCUUGAGUCACCAAAUGGCCCCACAAGUACUAGUCUCUAUUCUAAACAGGACUUGGUAAUUAGAAGAACUCCCACCUUGUUCUUAAUUGAGGUAUACUGGAGAUUCUGCAUCUGUUAUGUCAAAUUCUAGGCAAUGAUUCUUUUUUAACCUGAAUUAUCCAUAUAGUUCAUUGCAUUACCCCAUUUUUCAAUUUCCAUAUGGGAAGAGAUAUGAUCUUAGUUAAACCAGUUCUCUAAUUCACUGUACUUGUAUAUAAGCAACACUUACCAUGUUGCCAAUUGGUCAAAAAUAACUUACUAAGUAUCCUUCAAGUGCCAGACAAUAUGUAAGUCCAAAUGGGGACAAGACAGAGAGGUGUGUCCCUUUAAAUAUUUGUAUAACAAAAAAUAUUUAGAUUCUUGGCAUGAAUAGGACAGGAACGCACACUUUGCCUAAAUCUGUCCUUGGCAUCAGGUUAUAAGGCCUGGCACAACAACGGUCUUUGCCUCAGUGACUGGCAGAACAGCAGUAAAGAUGUGGCCUUCCCACAGAGCUAGCUGAGUACUUUACAUGAAAACGUAACUGGGGAUUGUUGAGGCUGUGUCUGUAUCACAAAGGGUGAAUCAAACUGGAAGGAGAAGUCUUAUCUGAGUCAUAGUCAUUCCUGUCUGUGAAGAAGCAGUAUGGCCAAAUCACUAAAACCGAGCAUUCUGACUGACUGUGGUUUCAGGGUGAAUCAAACGGAGAUGCAUGACUCUAGCCUUUACUACUCUGGCUAAUUGUCUGAUCUCUUUCCCAGGUUCCUUACAGGUACUUUCAGCCAUUUGGCUUUGGGCCCCGGGCCUGUGUGGGAAAGUACAUCGCCAUGGUGAUGAUGAAGGUUGUCCUGGUCACCCUUCUGAGACGCUUCCACGUGCAGACUUUGCAAGGUCGGUGCGUUGAGAAGAUGCAGAAGAAAAAUGACUUAUCCUUGCAUCCAGACGAGACCAGAGACCAGCUAGAAAUGAUUUUCACCCCAAGAAAUUCAGACAAGUGCCUCGAGCGCUAAAGAAGUUUGGUCAGUCCCUGCCCCAGAGCACUGCUCAACAGAACUCCACAUGGGAACCACCCAUCUU